Non-coding RNA from Podarcis lilfordi (Lilford's wall lizard), 73 nucleotides. The record is from the annotation of a GenBank genome assembly. NCBI's taxonomy places the organism in Eukaryota, Metazoa, Chordata, Lepidosauria, Squamata, Lacertidae.
AGCCAGUGUAGUUCAGUGGUUAGAGUGUCAGAGUAGGACCUGUGAGGCCAGGGUUCAAAUCCCCGCUCAGCUG